This 600-nucleotide ribosomal RNA is filed under the name Klebsiella oxytoca. RNAcentral's name for it is "bacterial SSU rRNA". It matches the Rfam family "Bacterial small subunit ribosomal RNA", at positions 75 to 673 of the family's 1533-position model. Lineage: Bacteria; Pseudomonadati; Pseudomonadota; Gammaproteobacteria; Enterobacterales; Enterobacteriaceae. The record is from RNAcentral.
CUUGCUCCUGGGUGACGAGCGGCGGACGGGUGAGUAAUGUCUGGGAAACUGCCUGAUGGAGGGGGAUAACUACUGGAAACGGUAGCUAAUACCGCAUAACGUCGCAAGACCAAAGAGGGGGACCUUCGGGCCUCUUGCCAUCAGAUGUGCCCAGAUGGGAUUAGCUAGUAGGUGGGGUAACGGCUCACCUAGGCGACGAUCCCUAGCUGGUCUGAGAGGAUGACCAGCCACACUGGAACUGAGACACGGUCCAGACUCCUACGGGAGGCAGCAGUGGGGAAUAUUGCACAAUGGGCGCAAGCCUGAUGCAGCCAUGCCGCGUGUAUGAAGAAGGCCUUCGGGUUGUAAAGUACUUUCAGCGGGGAGGAAGGCGUUGAGGUUAAUAACCUCAGCGAUUGACGUUACCCGCAGAAGAAGCACCGGCUAACUCCGUGCCAGCAGCCGCGGUAAUACGGAGGGUGCAAGCGUUAAUCGGAAUUACUGGGCGUAAAGCGCACGCAGGCGGUCUGUCAAGUCGGAUGUGAAAUCCCCGGGCUCAACCUGGGAACUGCAUUCGAAACUGGCAGGCUAGAGUCUUGUAGAGGGGGGUAGAAUUCCAGG